Molecule: small RNA, 156 nt
Filed under: uncultured Collinsella sp.
Lineage: Bacteria; Bacillati; Actinomycetota; Coriobacteriia; Coriobacteriales; Coriobacteriaceae
Description: Collinsella-1 RNA
Rfam family: Collinsella-1 RNA (bases 21-156)
Source: RNAcentral
GCGAGAGUGCGCAACAUCCCGCCCGUGAUGGCAGAUGUAAAUAAACGGUGGAACGGCUGUAAAAGAGUCUUGCCACUGGGUAAAAUCAGCUACUCAAACUUCGGAGACGCGGGCAACGCAGGUAUUAUCGUCAAAAGGGUCGGUUGCAGCCGGCCC